CGGCCAUAUUUGAUUUUCAAUAUAUGAUAAACAACCGCAAAUUCAUUUGCCCAGUUAAAAUUUAAGGUGGGUUUGAUAAAUUAAAGGUCAUGGUUUGCUACAAAAUCCAAGGUUGGAAAUUUUUGCUUACAUAUCUCAAGAUAGUGUUUGCAGAUAUGUUUAAACCAAAUGCCAGAUCAUGCAACAUAUAAUCAGUAAUUUUCUUGGCGAUGGAAUUCACAAAAGAAACUCCUUUUCUUUUGGCUCAUAAGAUACAGUCUUCACCAAGGCACAAUUACCAACUAUUCGCAGACAUUUUCAAAUCUUGUGCUGCUGGUUUUAACACCAAACUAGGCAAAGCUCUUCACAGUUAUGCCAUAAAACUGGGCCAUAUUUCUUGCCAGGUUGUGUCCAAAGCCUUACUUAAUAUGUAUGCAAAAUGUGCACUUGUUGAUGAUUGCAAGAAACUGUUUGGACAGAUGGGUACCCUUGAUCCUGUUGUUUGGAACAUUGUAUUAUCUGGGUUUGCAAGUUCUCGUGGUUAUGAUGAUCAAGUGAUGAGGUUGUUCUAUAAUAUGCAUUUUAGUAACCAACCUAAGCCUAACUCUGUGACUGUUGCUAUUGUCCUUCCCGUGUGUGCACGGUUAGGAAAUAUACGUGGAGGGAAGAGUGUUCAUGCGUUUGUGAUUAAAUCUGGACUUGAAGCACAAACAUUAGUAGGAAAUGCUCUUGUAUCUAUGUAUGCAAAAUGUGGGUUAGUCCACAAGGAUGCGUACUCUGUAUUUGGCAGCAUUAAGGACAAAGAUGUGGUUUCUUGGAAUGCAAUCAUUUCAGGUUUUUCUGAAAAUAAAUUGAUUACUAAUGCAUUGAGAUUGUUCAGCUGGAUGCUGAGAGGAUCAGUAGAACCGAAUUAUGCAACAAUUGUGAAUAUUCUACCUAUAUGUGCUUCCUUGGAUAAGAGUAUGGGCUACUGCAUUGGGAGAGAGACUCAUUGUUAUGUGUUGCGCCGGGCUGAACUAAUAUCAAAUGUUUCAGUCUGCAAUGCUUUGUUGAGCUUUUACUUGAGAGUUGGACAGAUGGAAGAAGCGGAAUUGUUGUUUCGGAGGAUGAAAUCAAGAGAUCUGGUUUCGUGGAAUGCCAUUAUUGCUGGAUAUGCAUCAAAUGGUGAGUGGUUAAAAGCAUUGAAUUUUUUUUGUGAAUUAAUCUCUGUAGAGAUGAUAAGGCCAGAUUCUGUGACUUUUGUCAACAUUCUUCCUGCCUGUGCAUACUUACUGAACUUGAAGGUUGGAAAAGAGAUUCAUGGGUACUAUCUCCGUCAUCCUUACCUAGAUGAGGAUGCAACUGUGGGGAAUGCUUUAGUUAAUUUCUAUGCAAAAUGUAAUGAAAUAGAAGCAGCAUAUCAGACAUUUUUGUUGAUUUCUAGGAAAGACUUGAUAUCGUGGAAUUCUAUACUCGAUGCCUUUUCAGAGAGUGGAUAUGAUAUUCAGUUUCUUAACCUUUUACACAGUAUGCAUUGGGAAGGAAUUAGACCCGACUCCAUUACUAUCUUAACCAUAGUUCAUUUUUGUGCUAUUGUUUUGAGUGUAAAUAUGGUUAAGGAAACACAUGGCUAUUCAAUUAAGGCAGGUCUUUUAUCAGGUGAUAUUGAGCCUAAUGUGGGAAAUGCAAUACUUGAUGCAUAUGCAAAAUGUGGUAACAUGGAUUAUGCGCUCAGUAUUUUUCACAGUUUGGCGGAGAAGCAAAAUUUGGUCACAUUAAAUUCAAUGAUCUCAGGUUAUGUGAAUUGUGGAUCGUAUGAUGAAGCAUAUAUGAUAUUUAAGCGGAUGUCUACAAUGGAUAUCACCACUUGGAAUCUAAUGAUUCGAGCUUAUGCUGACAGUAAUUGUCCUGAUCAAGCUCUUAGCCUAUUCCUUCAGUUACAAGUUCAAGGAUUGAAGCCUGAUGCCAUGACUAUUAUGAGCCUUCUUCCGGUAUGUUCUCAGAUGGCCUCAGUCCACUUAUUGAGGCAGUGCCAUGGGUAUGUAAUAAGAGCUUGUUUCAAUGAUGUCCGUUUGGAAGGAUCUCUUGUAGAUUUAUAUGCGAAAUGUGGCAGCAUAGGCAGUGCCUAUAAGAUUUUCCAGUCAAGCAUACAAAAAGAUCUGGUUAUGUUUACUGCUAUGGUUGGUGGCUAUGCGAUGCAUGGGAUGGGAGAGGAAGCACUUAAAGUUUUUUCUCAAAUUCUUGAAUUGGGUGUAAAGCCGGACCAUGUUGUCAUUACUGCUGUAUUAUUUGCUUGCAGUCAUACUGGCCUUGUAGAUGAAGGACUCAAGAUAUUUCACUCAAUAGAGAAGGUUUAUGGGAUCAAACCGACCACAGAACAGUAUGCUUGUGUGGUGGAUCUCCUUGCUCGAGUAGGACGGAUAAAUGAAGCAUAUUCUUUUGUAACUAGUAUGCCUAUAGAAGCAAAUGCAAACAUAUGGGGUACAUUGUUGGGUGCCUGCAGGACCCAUCAUGAGGUGGAAUUGGGUGGUGUUGUGGCAAAUCGCUUGUUUGAAAUUGAAGCGAACAAUAUUGGUAACUAUGUGGUGAUGUCAAACCUAUAUGCAGCAAAUGCUAGAUGGGAUGGAGUCAUGGAGAUAAGAAAACUGAUGAAAACGAGAGAUUUGAAAAAGCCAGCAGGAUGUAGCUGGAUUGAAGUGGAGAGAAGGAAGAAUGUGUUUAUAGCUGGUGACUGUUCCCACCCUCAACGGGACAUGAUUUACUGUAUAUUAAGAUUGUUGAAUCGUCAAAUUAAAUAUCCAUUUCAGUUUUCCUACAUCACCUCUUAGACAUAUGAUAUAUGGUGUGGCACAAGCGAAGUCCAAUGGCAGUGCAGAUAAUUUUGGAUUAUAUUGCACUUAAUCUUGAUUGCACUUAAUCUUGAAAAAUGGAAUCCUUUCUGCCCAAUGGCCUUCAGAUGGACAGGGAUUACCCCUUCUUCUAUCUCUUGAAGCAACAUGGAAUGCUUUUAAAAGUUGUGCACUGGGGUGCAGAGCCUGAUUUUUCAAGUUUGCACCAUAUAUUUACCUAUGGUUGGAAAUCAAUUUUCCAGCAGAGGUAACACUCUUCUGUAUCACUUCAUUCUUGCCAAGAGAUUCUGCAUGACUUGUUUUUCAAUGAUUUUGUUUUAUGCUGCUUCUCUCUUUGGUUGUCUAUUUCAUGUUAUGCUUAUAAUCUUAUGCAAUGAGAAUUGGGGAAACUUAUUUUUUUCCCUUUACUAUUAUAACAGUCUAGAAGUUUCACUGUUUGUCUAAUAUUUUAUCUAUUUGCUAUCAUUUUUAUCUUGGCAAUGUUAUUCAACAAUUUAAACUAGGGUAUGACAAUUCUCAUACUUUUAUGUAUUAGUUGUGGUUCAGUGACUGAAUCUUCUUAUAAGCACUGCUCCUUGAAGAUAUGGCAGUUUAGAGAGGGAUUCAGGGUUGGAUGAAUAGGGUUGAAUGAAUUGUCUAAAUUUUGGGUGUUUGGCUAAAUUUUCUCACUUUUCCUCACUUUCUCUUUAAUUCAUUCACUGUAAUAUCAACAAACUUUACAGCCUUUGGUGACAUGUAUAAUUAAUUUAGAUCAAAAGCUCCAGUGCUCCAUUAUAUGCAAGUGAGCAAAACGCUAAAUCAAUUAAUGAGAAAGAAAAAAUAUGACUCAAUAAUAUACGUAAUCUAAUUAGCUAGAAAUAAUUUGUUUUAUGAUAAAACCAAAGGUAUAUUCUGUUAACCAUUACCAAUUCGUGCUCUAGAGGAACAGCGAGAUAAAAACACAAUUUAUGCAUAUUAUGGUAAACUUUGGUCAUAUAACAUAUGAGUGUAGAUUUCUGAGAAAAACAAAGACUUAAGACCUACUUAGAAGAAGGAUAUAUGCUAAAGAUUUGGAGACUAGUCCUCCUAUUGGAUGAAAUUUUUGGCUUUUAUAUCACACAAGUCCCUUCUGACUUUGUUGAUGUGGACAGCUUUUGUAAACAAAUAAAUUUAGCUCCUAGAAAGGCUAUUGGACAAGAAUAUUCAAGGAGUAUAAAUUCCGUAAUAUGUACAAUUGAGCAUACCUUGAUGAAUUGAUCUAUAGUUAGAUAGAUGCCUCAAAAUUUUCCAUUUUAGCACUAGACUUUUUCUCCUUUGUUCGUUUUCAGCAACCUUGCUCUGUCCUUCCUUUUCUUUUAUUCACAUACAUCAUCUAUAAUGUCAGUGGUGAGGAAAAAAUAUACAUCAUCACAACCUGCUGCUAAAUUGCAUUAUAAUCUGGUACAAGACACUCAAUUGCUGAAAAGCAGAUGAGGUUUGUUACAAAAUCAAGUUGCUUUGCCUAUGUACUCUAUAUAUGUAUUUUAUUGGAAAUAAACGAAGUUGUAAUUGGAGGCGAUGCUCUAUCAAAUUCAAGGUGUCUUACUUGUCCUGGGAGAUGUUAGAGGGAACAAGCUUUGAAAAAAUUGUAGAUGGGGUACCCACAGGACUUGGAAGAAUACUGGAGUUUCCUGAUCUUGAUGGAGAUGAACCAGGUCUGAAAUUGAUUGGAGAUUUGACUAUUUCGAGCUUGGGCCUUGUGU
Molecule: RNA transcript, 4528 nt
Organism: Pistacia vera
Lineage: Eukaryota; Viridiplantae; Streptophyta; Magnoliopsida; Sapindales; Anacardiaceae
Gene name: putative pentatricopeptide repeat-containing protein At5g08490
Exons: 5
Source: RefSeq, a predicted model, not a curated record